Harpegnathos saltator (Jerdon's jumping ant) is the source of this 3590-nucleotide RNA transcript. It is a transcript of the gene named Diuretic hormone 31 Receptor, with no coding region annotated. Lineage: Eukaryota; Metazoa; Arthropoda; Insecta; Hymenoptera; Formicidae. The record is from RefSeq and is a predicted model, not a curated record. The transcript has 14 exons.
AGGAAAACAGAUUUAACAUCGACGUGCACGUUCGAGUAAACGCGUCGCGUCGCGUCGCGUCGCGUCGCGUCGCGGUCACGCUACCCAUCUACACCGGCCUCUUCGACGAUUACAAGUCAUUUUCGCGACGGCGACACGUAAAAACUCGAGACAUCGCAGAUUACGAGAGUGGAGAGAUUCAAGCGGCAUACACUCGUCAUAAUGGCCAUUAGAUUUCCCUCAUCGUUUGUUUUUCUUCCCCGAGCGAGGUGAAAGACCUCUCGACGGAGAGAUGCGAACCGGUAGAACCGCAGCGAUACGAGCGAGUCGAUCGAUUACACUCGAGCGAUUUAACGCGAUAAUCGAUACCGUUUACGAUCACUCGCGAGUGUGAAAGAGCUAUAAUCCGUUCGCCCGUUCAAGUUUCUUUACUUACGUAUUUCGUACACCGUGACCCGCGAGACUUUACUGAAGUUAGCCCUUUCUUCGGAGAUAAUGGCCGAGAGCAGUGGUAAUUCCUUUUUCCCGUCAAAUUAUAACUCGAAUAUGUCGCGACGAACGCGUCGAAGCUCUCGUCAUAUUCGAUAUCAAAGCCAGCGUGGUCUUGGCACUUUUCUUUCUCUUUUCGGAACUUGCACCGGGUCACAUGAUUUCAUUUCGCGUCUCGCAUACGAUUCCCCCGAGUCGAGAACAAGGUUCGUCCGUCUCCGUCUUUCGUUUCGCAUAGAUCCAUCAACGUCGCGAGACGCGUCGGGAUUUCCCGGUAACAAUUCUCGCAAUUUUAACCUCAACGAUUUGAACGUCCGCCAUUGAUUGUCGCGCGCGUAAGAAAGCAUUCUGUCGAGACGCGAGACGCUUUCCGUCUUCGUCGCGAUACGUAACGCGAGCCCAACCGCACAGACUCUCUCCCUUUCGCCGGAUAAAAAGACAAAGAGAAAAAAGAUUUGAAUUCACCGGGAGUGUCGCGACAGAUGAACGACGACAACGCGCGAAUUAGCCGAACAAUCGCGCACGGAACGAAGCGGCGAAUCAUCUCGACGAGAGUGCCCGACGCGUGCUCGACCUGGUGAAAAAUCGCCGUCGCUUUGCAUUCUCGAAUAUUCCUCGCGGAUAGCAGUGCGCGAUCGCGCGAAUUAAUAGCCGAAAAGUGCGUGGGUAAAGUACUGGCGCGAGGUCGCGAUUACGGCACGAAACGGACGCGAGGGCCACGCUCGGCUCGAUGGCCGCGAACGAACAUUCGCCACAACGAUCGGCAAGGAAGCACGGGCCGCCGCCACUGAACCGAUCGCACUUAUGAUCGUUUAGCACCGAUUGAUAAGAGAGAGACACGCCCUGCGCCGCGAUCGUCAUCGUUGCGCGUUGCACAUCACAAGUUCAUCGCCGGUCCUCCGUCCUCCGUCCUCCGCACCGACGAGACAGACUCACGUUUCCGUCGAUGGACUCGGUAGCGGAACGUGGGGCCACCUAGCCGUCCAGCAGUCGCUGUCCCUGAUCUGGUGUGCUACGGACGUGAUGUCCCCGCGGUAUAUACACUCCAUCCUUAUAACUUGCCAAUAACGCCAAUCAUGGAAACGCAGAGCGAGAUGCCGGGAAACACAACGGUGGGUAGCACGCUGUUAGACCAAGAACUCCAUCGAAUUCUCAUGGAGCGUAGGGAAGAAUGCUGGAAGCUGAAAGACAUGAACACGACGCUGCCGCCAGAGCCAUAUUGUCCCCUUACAUUCGAUGGGUGGUCCUGUUGGCCGAACACUCCAGCGGGGUCGACUGUGUACACGCGAUGUCCGAACUUCAUCACCGGUUUUGACGCAUCACUAAUGGCGUACAAAUAUUGCGACGAGAACGGCACAUGGUACCGGCAUCCCGAGUCUAAUCAGAUAUGGAGCAAUUACACGACCUGCGUGAAUCUGCAGGAUCUGAGCUGGCAGCAAAAACUAAACGGAAUCUACGAGGCGGGAUACGCGAUAUCCUUGGUGGCGCUAUUGCUCUCCUUGGGAAUCCUCACGUACUUCCGAUCUCUGAGAUGCGCACGGAUUACGCUGCAUAUGAACCUAUUCACUUCAUUCGCGCUCAACAAUGCUCUGUGGCUGAUCUGGUACAGGUUCAUCGUGGCCAAUACGGAUGUACUAAUUAAUAACGACAUACCGUGCCGCGUAUUGCAUGUGGUCCUUCAUUAUUUUCUAUUAACAAACUACGCCUGGAUGCUCUGCGAGGGCUUCUAUCUGCACACCCUGCUGGUGAACGCAUUCACCAGCGAGCACAAAUUAGUGAAUUGGCUGAUGGGACUCGGAUGGUCGGUGCCGGCUGUAAUCGUCACCUUGUACACGGCACUGCGCGCCUCCAGCAACGAUCCUGCGGACACCGAGCAGUGCUGGAUCAACGAGGGCAGCUAUAUGAGCGUGCUUGUUUAUCCCGUAUGCGUAUCCACUAUGUUGAACCUGCUCUUCCUGUUUAACAUCGUGCGAGUGCUCCUCAUGAAGUUGCGCGCCGGACCCGCCAUCGGAACGCGCCCGUCGCGAUUCAUGCUGCAGGCUUUCAGGGCAACGUUACUGUUAGUACCUCUCUUGGGUCUUCACUAUUUAGUGAUCCCAUUUCGGCCGCCCAAGAAGCAUCCUUGGGAGCAGUUUUACGAGGUCCUUUCUGCGAUCACGGCUUCCUUCCAGGGCCUCUGUGUGGCGGUACUUUUCUGCUUCUGCAACGGCGAGGUAAUAGCGCAGUUCAAGAGAAAGUGGGAGAACAGCGUACCGUUGCGAAAACGAACAAACUCCUACACGGCCACGACUGUCUCGGUCCGAUGGGGGCGGGAGAGGAGAAGGUGUGAUUAUCAACCAGCCGCGUCGACGAUGCCGGAAGACUGCAAGCUGACUGACCCAAUGCUGACUCAGCAUCAGGAGCAACAAUACCAAGCCGUGCAGAUGAUCACCACCAGUCGGACCAGUAAUCACGGUAACAACAACCACGCGCAGGUGCUCGUCAAGCGUGGCGACUUGGAUGACAAGAGCGACCAGACACAGUGUUAAUGACCAUCGAUCGAGCAGGAUUGAUAGCGCACAGGACCACGCUUAAUAGUAUUGCACGAAGAAAUCCGAUGGCAGCUAAAUAGAAAAAUCUCCGACACGCUUCAUGAAAGUUCGCUUUAUCAAUUUGGGGCGGCUCCGUUAACGAAAAGCCGUAGAGAUGAAAGUUUCAAGAUUCGUUCGCGUAUAUUUCCUCGCAAUUUCCUCGCUUUUGACAUCCUCGCGACUAAGACGAGAUAGACAUAUGUUUCCAACUCGUAAGUUCUAAACCAGUUGCUGCAACUAUAUUGGAUUAUAACAUCUCAGAGGCAAGAAAUCAAGCGUAAUUUCUUCCUCCAUCUUCUUCCAUUGUACGCGAAAGUUGAUGACAUUUCUUCUUCGUACAGGAUAUCUCAUUUCCAUCGCAGACACUUUGACCAACUUAUAUAUAAUGAAGAUAAAAAGCUACAAAUCAAUUUUAGAGACAGACUCAAACUGAGAAAUAACAAAUAAAAAAGUCCUGUCGCAAUUAUUAAUGCAUCAAGACAAAUAAAAUUAAGAUUAGGGGGUCGUUUUAAUACUGUCGAAAUCGAUAGAAAUAAAUUUUUGUAAAAGUAA